This 434-nucleotide ribosomal RNA is filed under the name uncultured bacterium. RNAcentral's name for it is "bacterial SSU rRNA". It matches the Rfam family "Bacterial small subunit ribosomal RNA", at positions 917 to 1350 of the family's 1533-position model. The record is from RNAcentral.
GGGCCCGCACAAGCGGUGGAGCAUGUGGUUUAAUUCGAUGCAACGCGAAGAACCUUACCUACUCUUGACAUCCUGCGAAUUUGGUAGAGAUACCUUAGUGCCUUCGGGAACGCAGAGACAGGUGCUGCAUGGCUGUCGUCAGCUCGUGUUGUGAAAUGUUGGGUUAAGUCCCGUAACGAGCGCAACCCUUGUCCUUAUUUGCCAGCGCGUAAUGGCGGGAACUCUAAGGAGACUGCCGGUGACAAACCGGAGGAAGGUGGGGACGACGUCAAGUCAUCAUGGCCCUUACGAGUAGGGCUACACACGUGCUACAAUGGUCGGUACAAAGGGUUGCCAACUCGCGAGAGUGAGCCAAUCCCGAAAAGCCGAUCUCAGUUCGGAUUGUACUCUGUAACUCGAGUGCAUGAAGCUGGAAUUGCUAGUAAUCGCGGAUC